RNAcentral lists this long non-coding RNA (208 nucleotides) under Capsicum annuum. Its description in RNAcentral is "long non-coding RNA (CANN_LNC011944)". The record is from RNAcentral. Lineage: Eukaryota; Viridiplantae; Streptophyta; Magnoliopsida; Solanales; Solanaceae.
AUAAAAUCCUAAUUUCUGGUAUUUCUGCUCUUCUCUUCUCUUUUCGAAGUGAAUUAUGAUAUUUUGUUGUUUGUUGUAUUUUUUGAAGUUUGAUUUUUAUUGUUUGUGUUUAUAAAAAUAAAAGGACAAUUUGGUUUGAUUUGUUCUGUUCUUGUUCUUGGUAAAAAUAGUGAAAUUAUUGUUGUUUGUUUAACAAAAUCGUGCUACU